AGUCGAACGAACUCUGGUAUUGAUUGGUGCUUGCAUCAUGAUUUACAUUUGAGUGAGUGGCGAACUGGUGAGUAACACGUGGGAAACCUGCCCAGAAGCGGGGGAUAACACCUGGAAACAGAUGCUAAUACCGCAUAACAACUUGGACCGCAUGGUCCGAGUUUGAAAGAUGGCUUCGGCUAUCACUUUUGGAUGGUCCCGCGGCGUAUUAGCUAGAUGGUGAGGUAACGGCUCACCAUGGCAAUGAUACGUAGCCGACCUGAGAGGGUAAUCGGCCACAUUGGGACUGAGACACGGCCCAAACUCCUACGGGAGGCAGCAGUAGGGAAUCUUCCACAAUGGACGAAAGUCUGAUGGAGCAACGCCGCGUGAGUGAAGAAGGGUUUCGGCUCGUAAAACUCUGUUGUUAAAGAAGAACAUAUCUGAGAGUAACUGUUCAGGUAUUGACGGUAUUUAACCAGAAAGCCACGGCUAACUACGUGCCAGCAGCCGCGGUAAUACGUAGGUGGCAAGCGUUGUCCGGAUUUAUUGGGCGUAAAGCGAGCGCAGGCGGUUUUUUAAGUCUGAUGUGAAAGCCUUCGGCUCAACCGAAGAAGUGCAUCGGAAACUGGGAAACUUGAGUGCAGAAGAGGACAGUGGAACUCCAUGUGUAGCGGUGAAAUGCGUAGAUAUAUGGAAGAACACCAGUGGCGAAGGCGGCUGUCUGGUCUGUAACUGACGCUGAGGCUCGAAAGUAUGGGUAGCAAACAGGAUUAGAUACCCUGGUAGUCCAUACCGUAAACGAUGAAUGCUAAGUGUUGGAGGGUUUCCGCCCUUCAGUGCUGCAGCUAACGCAUUAAGCAUUCCGCCUGGGGAGUACGGCCGCAAGGCUGAAACUCAAAGGAAUUGACGGGGGCCCGCACAAGCGGUGGAGCAUGUGGUUUAAUUCGAAGCUACGCGAAGAACCUUACCAGGUCUUGACAUACUAUGCAAAUCUAAGAGAUUAGACGUUCCCUUCGGGGACAUGGAUACAGGUGGUGCAUGGUUGUCGUCAGCUCGUGUCGUGAGAUGUUGGGUUAAGUCCCGCAACGAGCGCAACCCUUAUUAUCAGUUGCCAGCAUUAAGUUGGGCACUCUGGUGAGACUGCCGGUGACAAACCGGAGGAAGGUGGGGAUGACGUCAAAUCAUCAUGCCCCUUAUGACCUGGGCUACACACGUGCUACAAUGGAUGGUACAACGAGUUGCGAACUCGCGAGAGUAAGCUAAUCUCUUAAAGCCAUUCUCAGUUCGGAUUGUAGGCUGCAACUCGCCUACAUGAAGUCGGAAUCGCUAGUAAUCGCGGAUCAGCAUGCCGCGGUGAAUACGUUCCCGGGCCUUGUACACACCGCCCGUCACACCAUGAGAGUUUGUAACACCCAAAGUCGGUGGGGUAACCUUUUAGGAACCAGCCGCCUAAGGUGGGAC
This 1443-nucleotide ribosomal RNA is filed under the name Lactiplantibacillus plantarum. RNAcentral's name for it is "bacterial SSU rRNA". It matches the Rfam family "Bacterial small subunit ribosomal RNA". The record is from RNAcentral. Lineage: Bacteria; Bacillati; Bacillota; Bacilli; Lactobacillales; Lactobacillaceae.